Brassica napus (rape) is the source of this 125-nucleotide non-coding RNA. The record is from Rfam. NCBI's taxonomy places the organism in Eukaryota, Viridiplantae, Streptophyta, Magnoliopsida, Brassicales, Brassicaceae.
GGAAGUUAAGAAACUGUUUUUUAACUUUUAACUAAAAAAACUAAAAACCGGUUCUUAAAUAAAGACUUUAAGAAUCAGUUCUUAACUUUUUUAGUUAAAAGUUAAGAAACAAUUUUUUAAUUUCC